RNAcentral lists this ribosomal RNA (301 nucleotides) under uncultured bacterium. RNAcentral describes it as "partial 16S ribosomal RNA". It matches the Rfam family "Bacterial small subunit ribosomal RNA", at positions 509 to 807 of the family's 1533-position model. The record is from RNAcentral.
CAGUCGCCGCGGUAAUACGGAGGGUGCAAGCGUUAUCCGGAUUUAUUGGGUUUAAAGGGUCCGUAGGCGGAUCUGUAAGUCAGUGGUGAAAUCUCACAGCUUAACUGUGAAACUGCCAUUGAUACUGCAGGUCUUGAGUAAAUUUGAAGUGGCUGGAAUAAGUAGUGUAGCGGUGAAAUGCAUAGAUAUUACUUAGAACACCAAUUGCGAAGGCAGGUCACUAAGAUUUAACUGACGCUGAUGGACGAAAGCGUGGGGAGCGAACAGGAUUAGAUACCCCUGUAGUCCAUGUCUCUUAUAC